UCACCCUUCUCAGCACGCAUUUUCUCCCAGACAAACAUGUCAGCUGCUGAGUGGUCCCACUGUCUGCACAUAGAUCUCAAAUCCAGCACAUUGCAAAGAGCUUCAUGACAAGAAAUAUGGCUUCAUAAUCACAACGUUAAUCACUGAUCUCCUCCACGCGUUAAGCUUUGCCAUGCUUCAUAAUGAGUUGUAUAAAGUAUCUCUGCCCUACUCGCU
RNAcentral lists this long non-coding RNA (216 nucleotides) under Chinchilla lanigera (long-tailed chinchilla). Its description in RNAcentral is "lncRNA (ENSCLAG00000027985.1)". Lineage: Eukaryota; Metazoa; Chordata; Mammalia; Rodentia; Chinchillidae. The record is from RNAcentral.